RNAcentral lists this ribosomal RNA (497 nucleotides) under uncultured bacterium. Its description in RNAcentral is "partial 16S ribosomal RNA". It matches the Rfam family "Bacterial small subunit ribosomal RNA", at positions 28 to 507 of the family's 1533-position model. The record is from RNAcentral.
GAUGAACGCUGGCGGCGUGCCUAAUACAUGCAAGUCGAGCGAACAGACGAGGAGCUUGCUCCUCUGACGUUAGCGGCGGACGGGUGAGUAACACGUGGAUAACCUACCUAUAAGACUGGGAUAACUUCGGGAAACCGGAGCUAAUACCGGAUAAUAUAUUGAACCGCAUGGUUCAAUAGUGAAAGACGGUUUUGCUGUCACUUAUAGAUGGAUCCGCGCCGCAUUAGCUAGUUGGUAAGGUAACGGCUUACCAAGGCAACGAGGCGUAGCCGACCUGAGAGAGUGAUCGGCCACCCUGGAACUGAGACACGGUCCAGACUCCUACGGGAGGGAGCAGUAGGGAAGCUGCCGCAAUGGGCGAAAGCCUGACGGAGCAACGCCGCGUGAGUGAUGAAGGUCUUCGGAUCGUAAAACUCUGUUAUUAGGGAAGAACAAAUGUGUAAGUAACUAUGCACGUCUUGACGGUACCUAAUCAGAAAGCCACGGCUAACUACGUG